RNAcentral lists this transfer RNA (70 nucleotides) under Ambystoma laterale (blue-spotted salamander). RNAcentral's name for it is "tRNA-Thr". It matches the Rfam family "tRNA". From Rfam's summary of the family: Transfer RNA (tRNA) molecules are approximately 80 nucleotides in length. Their secondary structure includes four short double-helical elements and three loops (D, anti-codon, and T loops). The record is from RNAcentral. Lineage: Eukaryota; Metazoa; Chordata; Amphibia; Caudata; Ambystomatidae.
ACCAGGAUAGUUUAAUUUAAAACAUCGGCCUUGUAAGUCGAAAACCGAAGACUAAGAAUCUUCUCAAGGU